RNAcentral lists this ribosomal RNA (315 nucleotides) under uncultured eukaryote. Its description in RNAcentral is "partial 18S ribosomal RNA". It matches the Rfam family "Eukaryotic small subunit ribosomal RNA", at positions 1470 to 1796 of the family's 1831-position model. The record is from RNAcentral.
CCCCUAGACGUUCUGGGCCGCACGCGCGCUACACUGACCAGUGCAACAAGCAUCCGUCCUUGGCCGACAGGCCCGGGCAAUCUUUGAACGCUGGUCGUGAUGGGGAUAGACUUUUGCAAUUUUUGGUCUUCAACGAGGAAUUCCUAGUAAACGCAAGUCAUCAACUUGCAUUGAUUACGUCCCUGCCCUUUGUACACACCGCCCGUCGCACCUACCGAUUGAAUGGUCCGGUGAAGCCUCCGGAUUGGCGCGCACCUCGGUGCCGCCGAGAAGUUGGCUAAACCUUACCAUUUAGAGGAAGGUGAAGUCGUAACA